This 292-nucleotide ribosomal RNA is filed under the name uncultured bacterium. Its description in RNAcentral is "partial 16S ribosomal RNA". It matches the Rfam family "Bacterial small subunit ribosomal RNA", at positions 505 to 795 of the family's 1533-position model. The record is from RNAcentral.
GUGCCAGCCGCCGCGGUAAUACGGAGGGGACUAGCGUUGUUCGGAAUUACUGGGCGUAAAGCGCACGUAGGCGGAUUUGUAAGUCAGGGGUGAAAUCCCGGGGCUCAACCUCGGAACUGCCUUUGAUACUGCAAAUCUCGAGUCCGGAAGAGGUGAGUGGAAUUCCUAGUGUAGAGGUGAAAUUCGUAGAUAUUAGGAAGAACACCAGUGGCGAAGGCGGCUCACUGGUCCGGUACUGACGCUGAGGUGCGAAAGCGUGGGGAGCAAACAGGAGGAUAUACCACUGGAUUAC